This 336-nucleotide ribosomal RNA is filed under the name Triticum aestivum (bread wheat). Its description in RNAcentral is "partial small subunit ribosomal RNA". The record is from RNAcentral. Lineage: Eukaryota; Viridiplantae; Streptophyta; Magnoliopsida; Poales; Poaceae.
AUGCCAUGGAAAGGUUAUAAUUUUGAAGACGCGGUACUAAUUAGCGAACGUUUGGUAUAUGAAGAUAUUUAUACCUCUUUUCACAUCCAGAAAUAUGAAAUCCAAACGGAUACAACAAGCCAGGGCUCCGCUAAAAAAAUCAGUAAAGGAAUACCACAUCUAGAAGAACAUUUACUCCGCAAUUUGGACAAAAAUGGAGUUGUUAGGUUGGGAUCCUGGGUAGCAUUAUUUAGCUUGGCAAGAAGAAUUUGUCACUACGUUCCGGUCCAUAUGAAGAAUGCGCUGUUCAUGCCAGAAACAUACUUUCUCUCAUUUAUCAACAGCUAUAGUUUGUGA